RNAcentral lists this long non-coding RNA (285 nucleotides) under Hordeum vulgare. RNAcentral describes it as "long non-coding RNA (HVUL_LNC012057)". Lineage: Eukaryota; Viridiplantae; Streptophyta; Magnoliopsida; Poales; Poaceae. The record is from RNAcentral.
AUCUUCAUGAAGUAGGCAAUCUCCUUGCCUGUACAUACUGCUUGGUUAAACCUCACAACAUGAAGUAGGAGGCUCCCAAGCGACACCUAACCAAAUAGGAGACACCACUCUCCAAAAGGUAAUAGAUACGAUAGUAUGAUGAACUCCUUGCUCUUGUGCUUCAAAAGAUAGUCUCCUCAACACUCAAUAACUCUCUCACAAAUUUAGCUUGGGAAGUAGAGAUUGAUUGGGUGGAAAGCAACUUGGGCAGGCUAGAAAUCAAGAUUCAAAUGGUAGGAUUGGAAU